Molecule: long non-coding RNA, 579 nt
Organism: Cheilinus undulatus (humphead wrasse)
Lineage: Eukaryota; Metazoa; Chordata; Actinopteri; Labriformes; Labridae
Exons: 6
Source: RefSeq, a predicted model, not a curated record
CUAACAACGUUGCUAGCUAGCUGGCUGCAAGGAGUUCCCCCUAAGUCAGUGGAUGAAGUGAAGUCGGAAACACACGGAGGAAUUUCACCGUGAGACUGUUUCACAUGACUGGAUAAAUAAAGGAGUCAGUUUUCCUUGCAUGGGGGAGAAGGGCAGGACUUGACAGUGAACAACAAAUUAAAAGAAUGUGGGCCCUUAGGAGUGUCGCUUCCAGCCACACGGCAAACUACCCGGUCCCCGACAAACAACAAGUGAACCAAAGUCUCCCCCCCGUCCCAAAGCACUAGACACUUAGCUUCAACACUGGGCCAAGCGCUCCACUGCAGGAUGUGAUCUAUUUUGAGGAGGUGAUGGGUCCUGAUGCCUAACCAGAUGAGAACCACUGCUCUAAACAAUCAACACUACAGGAGAUGAGCAAAGUGACAAGUUCUGAAGCUUUUGCAGCUGGGCUGCCCUGCCUCACUUGGAUGCAUCAACAAAGCUUGAAGUGGCCACUCUAAUCUGGCCUUGCCAGUUUGUACCAUCAAACCUCUGCCCAAUGCAUGCUGGGAAGAGUCAGCGUCAGCAUGGAGGAAUCAG